GCGGGGAUAGUUCAGUUGGGAGAACGUCAGGUAAAUUACCCUCCAUCAAUUUACUCGUCAACACUGUACUAAUAUAUCAUUCAAGACUGAAGUAACACUUCAUCAUUAAUCUGAAGGCCGUGUGUUCGAUCCACACUCACCGCA
Non-coding RNA from Hypoxylon argillaceum, 144 nucleotides. The record is from the annotation of a GenBank genome assembly. Lineage: Eukaryota; Fungi; Ascomycota; Sordariomycetes; Xylariales; Hypoxylaceae.